GCAAGUCGAGCGAAUCUGAGGGAGCUUGCUCCCAAGAUUAGCGGCGGACGGGUGAGUAACACGUGGGUAACCUGCCUGUAAGAUUGGGAUAACUCCGGGAAACCGGAGCUAAUACCGGAUAACAUUUCGAACCGCAUGGUUCGAAAUUGAAAGACGGCUUUUGCUGUCACUUACAGAUGGACCCGCGGCGCAUUAGCUAGUUGGUGAGGUAACGGCUCACCAAGGCAACGAUGCGUAGCCGACCUGAGAGGGUGAUCGGCCACACUGGGACUGAGACACGGCCCAGACUCCUACGGGAGGCAGCAGUAGGGAAUCUUCCGCAAUGGACGAAAGUCUGACGGAGCAACGCCGCGUGAACGAUGAAGGCCUUCGGGUCGUAAAGUUCUGUUGUUAGGGAAGAACAAGUGCUAGAGUAACUGCUAGCACCUUGACGGUACCUAACCAGAAAGCCACGGCUAACUACGUGCCAGCAGCCGCGGUAAUACGUAGGUGGCAAGCGUUGUCCGGAAUUAUUGGGCGUAAAGCGCGCGCAGGCGGUUUCUUAAGUCUGAUGUGAAAGCCCACGGCUCAACCGUGGAGGGUCAUUGGAAACUGGGAAACUUGAGUGCAGAAGAGGAGAGUGGAAUUCCACGUGUAGCGGUGAAAUGCGUAGAGAUGUGGAGGAACACCAGUGGCGAAGGCGACUCUCUGGUCUGUAACUGACGCUGAGGCGCGAAAGCGUGGGGAGCGAACAGGAUUAGAUACCCUGGUAGUCCACGCCGUAAACGAUGAGUGCUAAGUGUUAGAGGGUUUCCG
Molecule: ribosomal RNA, 795 nt
Filed under: Bacillus sp. PSu3_7
Lineage: Bacteria; Bacillati; Bacillota; Bacilli; Caryophanales; Bacillaceae
Description: bacterial SSU rRNA
Rfam family: Bacterial small subunit ribosomal RNA
Source: RNAcentral